This is a small nucleolar RNA of Ochotona princeps (American pika), 199 nucleotides long. Its record names the gene SNORA74. It matches the Rfam family "Small nucleolar RNA SNORA74". Rfam says of the family: U19 belongs to the H/ACA class of snoRNAs. snoRNAs bind a number of proteins (including dyskerin, Gar1p and Nop10p in the case of the H/ACA class) to form snoRNP complexes. This class are thought to guide the sites of modification of uridines to pseudouridines by forming direct base pairing interactions with substrate RNAs. The record is from Ensembl. NCBI's taxonomy places the organism in Eukaryota, Metazoa, Chordata, Mammalia, Lagomorpha, Ochotonidae.
CUCAGCUGGAGGCACCUGCCUAGGUUGCCUUGUACCUAGGCAAGGGUUACACUGCUGGGAGAAAAGCAGCACGUAGCUGGCGGGAAUCCUGGACCUGGUUAAUGCUAAACUGUGUCAGCUAUACCAGUGUGCCUGCAUAGUUGCCUAUUCUAGUUUUUCCUUUCUUUUUUUAAGAUAAGAGAGGAAAAUGGGGAACACU